This 1770-nucleotide long non-coding RNA is filed under the name Nicotiana tabacum (common tobacco). RNAcentral's name for it is "long non-coding RNA (NTAB_LNC004800)". Lineage: Eukaryota; Viridiplantae; Streptophyta; Magnoliopsida; Solanales; Solanaceae. The record is from RNAcentral.
CAAUUAACAACCAACCAAUAUUCACCUAAAUCAACAACAAUCUUUAUGAACUAACGAACGAGUUUUCACCAACACUACCAACCUUAUAAAUAAGAUAAUACUAAGCCCAUCUAAAAAAAUACAGAAAGAAAGUGCAAUACUAGUAACUAGUCCAAUUUAACAAAUGAAUACUCGUGACACUAAUAAAAACAACUAUAGAGCGACUCUAAGAGUUCAAAAGAAAAGACAAUAACAAUAAAUAAACUCUUCGCCCACGCGAACCAGUGCGGGGCUCACCAGGAACUAUCAACUCGUGUACUCUAAUUAACGAAAUCCUCGCUCGCGUCAACUGCUUUCUCUGUAUAAAAAAAAAUAGCGGGGAAUGAGUCGCUAGCUCAGUGAGAAAUAACACUUAACCACAAAUGUUUUUGAUUGGGGACAAGUCAGAAAUACAUGCUUGUAUAAUAAAAUUCAGAAAUUAUCACAAAAAUAAAAUGCCCUUUCAAAACGGUAAGAAUAAUCAGUCUCAUCAUGUGUUUCCUGUAACAGAAUUCAAUUUAACAAUUUGGUAAUAAACUCAGUAAGCACUAUAUCAUAUCAAUUCUUUAUGUCUCGGAGGUUUCCAAGAAAGGAUCAUGUAAUCUGUAUCACUGUGUGGACCCUUUUGUAAAAGGAGUCAAAUAUAACGGUAGGUUCCUACUCGAGAGAAAACUGUAAAUGUAUGCUAGUUCUACCUUCCCACUAGAGAGGGCUAUAACCGUAAUCGGUAAUCUGUAACUAUAAGGUGCACCAGGUCUAACGAACCCGCCAUUGGCUACGGGAUCCUUCAAAGUCUCCUCCCAUUAAUACUCUUUCUUGUAAAUAGUAAAUACUCGUAUAAAAGCAUUUUCAAAAUAAUAAAGGGCAUUCCUUAUCAAAUCUUGUAAUUUUAUUUCGGUAACAGUCAUCAUGUCUCAAGUAACAGUAAAACAUGUCUAGUAAUAGUGAGAAUAAUUCAAAUAACUGUAACAUCUCAAGUAACGGUAAAACAUAUCUAGUAACGGUGAAAAUAUUUAGAUUAUUCGGUAAACAUCUCAAGUAAACUGUUCGAUAUCAUAUCAAGUAAAGGACUUGUCCCACAUGCAAUUUUAAAGCAUCGGUAAUACGUUUAUUUUCAACAUCAUAUAUAAACCAUGCAAGUUAUCAAAACACAAAUUGUGAUAAAAUUACUACUCACAGUACUCACUUCGAAAUACCAAGCGUGCCAACUCGUGCAGUCCAUACGACUUCCUCGAUCAAUCUAUAUUAUCACAAACACGAGUCUAAGUGUCAACUUCGCGAAGUACCAAAUUCCUCGUGGUUCCAUUCGUAAUAAGCUUAGUUAGGCUACCUGUGAAAUUAUCAAAUACUUCUUUGUAAUUCUUUCUUCCUAGUUCAUGAAACGUUCAUCAAUUAAUCAUUUUUAUGAUAAUAAAAUAAUUCAUGUUUAAUGAUAUUCAUUAUAAUUAAAUACCAACAUUAAUCCUAGUAUCACAAUUUGACUCAAGUCAAUGAUUAUCUAUAUAAUAUUACUAGUUAUAAGUAAAAUUAAGAAUACAAUGUUACCUCUUUCUUUUAUUCACUGUGUGAAUUUUGUUUCUGCGUAUACCUACACUGAAUCAAGAUGAAAUUCCUCUUCUUGUUCCCUUGUAAAACUUUAUGCCAGAAGACUUCAUUCCCUCUUUAAUUUCCUUGUAAUGCUUUCUGCAUAUGAUGGUAAAUAUUUCUUUUGCAGAGGCUUCGUGGCUCCUUCUAGGUUUUCGUUGUUUCAGA